RNAcentral lists this long non-coding RNA (1026 nucleotides) under Felis catus (domestic cat). Its description in RNAcentral is "lncRNA (ENSFCAG00000042323.2)". Lineage: Eukaryota; Metazoa; Chordata; Mammalia; Carnivora; Felidae. The record is from RNAcentral.
AUGAACUCACUCUUCUCUCUCCUUCACAGAAACAGAAGAGGCAACUAUGAAAAGCAGACUAGGAUGGCAUUGCCUCAGGUGGAAAACUGGCUGGGGUUGCUCCAGGCCACAGAUCAGGUCCACAUCUGCUCCACAUCUCUCCAUGAACCAGUGGCUACCACAAGCAUGUCCUUCUCAUGGAAACUCACAAGAGCAGAAAAGGCUACAACCUCUGCAUUAAGAGCACUGAUGAGGCACAAGGAAACAAGAUGGAUGGUUUAGAACUGGUCACGAGAAGAGAGGAGAAGAGAAGAGAAGAGAAGAGAAGAGAAGAGAAGAGAAGAGUGGACAAAAAUGGAAGUGGAGGAAAGUGAGGCAGAUGCUCUCUCCAGCUGGCAAAGAGAUUUUAGAAAAUGGGCUCUAAUUUAGACAGCGCAAAGGCAGGCCUUGCCUUUCGCUAUAAAAUCAAGGCCAUCAUCUGAGAGUCACAUCAAUUGAAGUUGGUCCCUCUUGAAAUACAGACCUUGUGCAGGCUAUUUUUUAUAUAAAUAUUUUUAAUUAAUAGAUGGCUUCAUCAAACAUGAGAAGGAUUAAGCAUUAACACUCACCAGAGACCCUGAAAUUAGAUUGAUUAUCUGCAUCUUAAUUUGCUUUUUUGACACCACUAAUUUAUUUUUAAUAGGUCUGUAAUUUAGCUUUAUCUAUUUCUUAUUCUGCUUGGCAGACUUAAAUGUUUGCAGCUCACCAGUCAGUCUCUGUAACCUUUAGGCACUUCUGUCUGCACAGUGUAUUAAUUUUUAAAUUAUCCAGCCCAGUGUGAGGAAGAAUAUCAAUUAAUUUCCAUAUGGGAGCCAGGCCCAAACCCAUCCUCUUCCAGUAGCAGUGAAAUUUAAAUGAAGGGGAAGGCCAGUUGUAGGGGGAACCUAGAUAAAAACAGUAAAUUCUCACUCCUGUGUUACAGAAUCUGUCACCCUUGAAAUAUUUUCCACUUGAAUCAGUGGCAUUGGCAUUAUUAUUGCAGUGAAAAUAAAUGCUCCUCUGUUGGCA